Molecule: ribosomal RNA, 465 nt
Filed under: uncultured bacterium
Lineage: Bacteria
Description: partial 16S ribosomal RNA
Rfam family: Bacterial small subunit ribosomal RNA
Source: RNAcentral
GACGAACGCUGGCGGCGUGCUUAACACAUGCAAGUCGAACGGAAAGGCCCUGCUUGCAGGGUACUCGAGUGGCGAACGGGUGAGUAACACGUGGGUGAUCUGCCCUGCACUUCGGGAUAAGCUUGGGAAACUGGGUCUAAUACCGGAUAGGACCGCACUUUAGUGUGUGUGGUGGAAAGUUUUUUCGGUGUAGGAUGAGCUCGCGGCCUAUCAGCUUGUUGGUGGGGUAAUGGCCUACCAAGGCGGCGACGGGUAGCCGGCCUGAGAGGGUGUACGGCCACAUUGGGACUGAGAUACGGCCCAGACUCCUACGGGAGGCAGCAGUGGGGAAUAUUGCACAAUGGGCGCAAGCCUGAUGCAGCGACGCCGCGUGGGGGAGGAAGGCCUUCGGGUUGUAAACUCCUUUCGCUAGGGACGAAGCUUUUUGUGACGGUACCUAGAGAAGAAGCACCGGCUAACUACGUG